GCGACCGGCCAAACCGGAAUCAUGAUCGCAGGAGCCGGCAUUCCGAUGGACGCGGUCGUGUCCGACUUCGCCGCCGGCGCAGGCGAGAUGCUCACUCCGGACUCGGCCGAUCACCAUUGGGACAUCAUCGAGGGGCAGGGCUCGCUACUCCACCCUUCCUUCGCGGGCGUGUCGCUGGCGCUCCUACAUGGCAGCCAGCCGGACGUGAUCGUCGUCUGCCACCAGGCGGGGCGCGAGAAGAUUCUCGGGCAUGAGCAGUAUGCGCUGCCCUCGAUCGAAGAGACGAUCGAGCUCAACC
RNAcentral lists this unclassified non-coding RNA (298 nucleotides) under plant metagenome. RNAcentral describes it as "partial contains 5.8S ribosomal RNA, internal transcribed spacer 2, and large subunit ribosomal RNA". The record is from RNAcentral.